Molecule: ribosomal RNA, 872 nt
Filed under: uncultured fungus
Lineage: Eukaryota; Fungi
Description: eukaryotic LSU rRNA
Rfam family: Eukaryotic large subunit ribosomal RNA
Source: RNAcentral
UUCCCCUAGUAACUGCGAGUGAAGCGGGAAGAGCUCAAAUUUAAAAUCUGGCGUGCCUCCGGUCGUCCGAGUUGUAGUCUGGAGAAGCGUUUUCCGUGUUGGACCGUGUAUAAGUCUCUUGGAACAGGGCGUCAUAGAGGGUGAGAAUCCCGUCUUUGACACGGACUACCAAUGCUUUGUGAUGCGCUCUCAAAGAGUCGAGUUGUUUGGGAAUGCAGCUCAAAAUGGGUGGUAAAUUCCAUCUAAAGCUAAAUAUAGGCGAGAGACCGAUAGCGAACAAGUACCGUGAGGGAAAGAUGAAAAGCACUUUGGAAAGAGAGUUAAACAGUACGUGAAAUUGCUGAAAGGGAAACGCUUGAAGUCAGUCAUGUCUGCCAGGACUCAGCCUCGCUUCUGCUUGGUGUACUUUCUGGUUUGAUGGGCCAACAUCAAUUUUGACCGUUGGAGAAAGGCUUUGGGAACGUGGCACCUUCGGGUGUGUUAUAGCCCUUUGUUGUAUACAACGGUUGGGAUUGAGGACUGCAGCACGCCUUUAUGGCCGGGGUUCGCCCACGUACGUGCUUAGGAUGUUGGCAUAAUGGCUUUAAGCGACCCGUCUUGAAACACGGACCAAGGAGUCUAACAUGCCUGCGAGUGUUUGGGUGGAAAACCCAUGCGCGUAAUGAAAGUGACAGCUGAGAUCCUCUCAUCAGGAGCACCAGCGCCUGGACUUGAUCUACGGAGACGGUUCUACGGUAGAGCAUGUAUGUUGGGACCCGAAAGAUGGUGAACUAUGCCUGAAUAGGGUGAAGCCAGAGGAAACUCUGGUGGAGGCUCGUAGCGAUUCUGACGUGCAAAUCGAUCGUCAAAUUUGGGUAUAGGGGCGAAAGACU